Molecule: non-coding RNA, 73 nt
Organism: Triticum aestivum (bread wheat)
Lineage: Eukaryota; Viridiplantae; Streptophyta; Magnoliopsida; Poales; Poaceae
Source: Rfam
GUCAGGAUAGUUGAGUUGGUAGAGCAGAGGACUGAAAAUCCUCGUGUCACCAGUUCGAAUCUUGUUCCUGGCA